UCCAGACCCAACUUAAUAUGCAGUUGGAAGAUAAUCUGAAGUUCUCAUUUUGGAUCUAGUUGAAAGAGAAGCAGUUAGGUCAGGGGUUGAGCAGGAUCUAAAGAAGAAUAAUCAGCGGAUAAAGAAUUUGGUAAAGAAUAAGGAAAAGUCAGAAAGUAAGCUCCAAAGUUGAAAGGUGAAGUUCCGGGUCCAGCCCUGAAGUUAAUGGUUGAAGUUCCAGGUUCGAGCAAGGAUUUAAGUGUUGGGAGUUAAGUCCUUAUAGGGUGCGAGUUCCCUUGCUAGUUCUUACUCAUUUAACUGAACAAACUGAAUGGAAUCCAAUCUAGCGUUCAUUCACUGGCAUUUCCCAUCUAGCGUUCAUUCACUGGCAUUGUAUAGAAGAUGAGUCUGUAAUAGGUUAGUCAAUCCUCUGUAAAUGGUGAAAGAAGAGACGCCCCCACUUUUGUAGAUGAUAAAGGGGCUAACUCAGACCUAGCUAUAGCCUUAAAGCAUCAGUUUUCUUUGAUGUUUAUCAGCAUGCGCGCUGUAUAGGCAUUGCUAAACAUUUCCAAUUGAGCUAGACUUCUGCCCGGGGAAAGCGUCGUACCCCUAAUGGGUGGUGUCCGUGCCUAUCUGAGGAACUUGUCGCUGAGAAAUACCAAACUCAAGUAGUUAUGGGGUUAACAACAGAGGGGUUAAGAAAGGUAGAUUGCAUUGAAUACUGUAAUUCCACUGUCCGCAAGAGUGGUCAACGAUCCCGAAUCUAAUGCAUAAGUAAAGUAAGGUGCUGAAAGCUGUGGGAACUCUCCCGAAGUAGGCACCAAGCAAGGGAAGAGAGUGAGUGACUUACUGACUUCCAUAGGAGUGAAGUUCUCUUCUAGUUCAAUCCUUGAAUACCAUAAUUCCACUGUCCCCUUUCCAGAAUGGCAUGAAGCUUGUGUGUAAAGACGGUGAAGUUAUUCUCGGCAAUGAUUCAAUGCUUUCCUGGCCUGUGUUCAAUGGCAUGAAGUCAGCUUUCCGUAAUAGCAUGGGAAAUUCCUUGAUUCGGGAAGUCAAGGCAUGAAUAAAGCAAUUAAGGAAGCGUGGCUAAUUCCUUAUCUACGGUACGGGAGCACACUUCAUCUUUGAGUUCCCCCCCACUAUGGAUUUCCAAAUCAUCAUCUUUCCUUUCAUCAACAACAUCCAAUUCCAUUGCAGAAAUCAAGAAAUCGAUUCCUUAAGCUUCCCGCUUCUGGCUUCCCUUUUUCCAAAUCCAUAAUUGUAUAUCUGUACCUUGCUUGGGGAGGUAUAUCAAUCUCUUUCCUUUCUUUGCCCCUCGUUCGGGAGAGGGUUUCUCCGCUCUGGUUCACCACCUCAUAUUGAAUAAGCUCCUUUAAUUGUCCCCUAUUUCCAUUUGAACUAUUUAUUCGUUUUUAGUAUAUUAAGGAAUACUAGCAUAUGCUUUCCUUUCUAUCCGGAAAGGAAUCAAGUGAUCAAGUCAGCUUCCUGUAAGAAAGAAAGAAAGUUCAAUUAGAUCCGUAAAGUCGCUUUAUAAUCAAUAGCCUACUUUUGAGAAUCCUAAUCUUCCUACAUGGAGCCGAGAAAACAGGUAAACCCAUCCUGCUCCAUCCCUUAUGCCAGCCUACAUGACUUCUCAAGAAUUGAAUGCUUCCCAUGGCAAUACUGUCCAGAUAAUAGGUUGCAGAGGAGAUAAGGGGAUCCAUCAGGCGAUAGAUAGCAUAUGUUUGUGUAAUAGUACCAUUUGUAAUAGGGCAUGUAUAUGGUUUUGAGUUAAGCACUUAGAGUUCCGGGAAUAAAGAAUAAUGAUUGGAUUUCUGUCCAUCGGGAGAAAGCUUAGGAAAAGAGGCAAUAGGCAAAAGGCAAGACAGCAGGAGAUCAUAGGGUUAUAAUCUAGCAGUUCGUUUUUAGGAGCGCUGUUUUCAUCCAACUACCCAAAUCGUAAGAGUUCCGCCACUUUGACGCCCAAAAGUGCCAUUUCUUUCUUAGUUGAACCAAUUUCCAAAAAGUAAAUACACCAGUUUGAGCUUGACACUUUAGGGUACAACAUCGAAAAAGUAAAUAAACCUCUAUUCUUCUUAUUAUUGUGAGCAUUAAACUAUCAAGAGUCAAAGCUGAAACAAGGCUAAUCGCAAAUCGUGAUGUCUUACUAGAUUCUAAUGGAUACAUACCCUUUGUCCCUCGCUUACUCGGUUGCCACUGUUCUCAAAUCAGUAGUUUCUGUGCGGAUAGAAAUUCCUCUUUGUUGACAGGCUACCCUCUAGAAACCUCACCCCAGGUAAACCGAACCGGGGAAUACCUUCCAUUUUACUUAAUCAGAGUUCCUUCUGUCUUCUGCCUCUCCAAUCAGAUCAACUGGCUUUCACUCCCAGAUUGGCUGCUUUCUUACUUAUUUUAUGCCAACUAAGACAUAUAUCCAAAAGGCAUUCAAGCCUACCCGGGAUGAACUCCCACUCUUCUUGUUUCUUUGUUCCGGUUUCUUUCUUUCAUGGAUUGACUAUUGGAUUAACUAUUCGUCAAGUACCUGAGCUCCUUACUUAUUUCUGUUUCUUUAUCCCUGCCACCAUUGUCUUUCCUGAUAGAAAUAGUUCCAAGCAGUUGCUUUUCUUUUGGAAUGCAUACGGAGAAGCUCACUUUAGUUGUAUAUGGUAUGGCCGCUAAGAAGCAUCAUCGGUCAGAUUGGAUCCAACUUAGUACGUAUGAUGGGUUGAUUUAAGGUCCCGGAUCGAUCACUUAUAGCAUUCAAAGCGGAUUCUAUUCCUCCCUGUUUUGUCAGUCCCACUUAGCACAACUAAAAGAUAAGAUUCUCCACAAGUAUAGUUUUCUAGGAGAGGCUUUCAGCACCUUACUUAUUUCCCUUAAAGGAGCCUACCGGAUAAAAGGCAAUAGGUCUACGAAACAGAAGAAAGGUAUAUAAAUGGAGAAGUUACGAAACAGAAGAAAGGUAUAUAAAUGGAGAAGUAUGGAUUUGACCUGCUAUGCUAAUAGGUGGCGCUAUCAAUAGGGGAGGCCUAUGCUUUGGACGUUCUAAAUAAGGUUCCGGAAAGCUUUACUGAUCCACGGAAGCAUCAUCGAUAAGAGGCAUAGGCUAGUAAUCGAGUGAAACAAUAAAUAGCGGAUUCUUGUAUGGAAGUCCCUAGUCGAUCUCUUCUAGCUGGACUGGCCUCUCUUUACCUCUGCUGAGACUGACUUCGCCCUUAGGGAAAUAUGCGAAAAAAGCAGUUUACUAGCCGCAUAAAGGCAAAGGAGCGAACAGCAUCUUUGGAGAGCUUAGAGCGUCAAGACAAGCCCCGACGUCGGAACUUCACUGAAAGAAAGCAUAGGCGGAAGCUUGAGCUGAUAUAUGCCCAGAGCUUAUUAUAUUCCUAAGUGAGACAUUGGGACACAUAAGUAGCUUAGCGGGAAGAAGCCUCAGUAUGGGGGCGGGCGUUUGAGGCAGAGGAAAAGGGGCUUCCCAUUCUUAGCGGAUUUUCUGAUGGGUGUAAACCUCUUAUCCUGAGAAAGCUUCUAUCUAAAGUGGUUUUUCGGGGGUAAGCUUCUGCUCUCUGUAGCUUACUUCACUUUCCUUACUUCUGUUUUUUCUCUUUCACUUAGAGUUUCGGUCAUGAGACAACCAAAACCCAUUGAAAUGGGCAAGUUUCUUUAAGGAAAUCAGGGGCCAUUUCUAGAUUUCGAUAAUAGGUGCCGGUGCCUAACGUAAUGACAUUCUCCCCCCUUCCAUUCCAUUCCUUCAUCACCUACUGCAGAGGUUUCAUAACCAGAGGCUACGGGAGCUAUUCGAUAGAAUGAAGUUUAUGAUCUAUCUUUUUCAUAGGGAUGAGGGAUUUCCUAAGGCUUAGGCCGGGAUGGAAAAACACUAUGUGGCAACUGAGCGAGGAAUCAAAUAUAGACUGGAAUCAGGUGCUUAUAAGCCUUAUACUGAUAACUAACUCUUCCCCUACUACCGGACAUUCCUUAUUUCCACCUAUUGACUUAGACCAACUAGUGCUAUUUAAACUAUGAGACUUAUAUCAACUAGUUCCAUUCUCUUUCUUUAUGUAAACAUAUCAAUCUGCCUUUCCUGUCCCUCGUUGCUGUUAGCCCACCCCUCUUUGCUUUAAGUCAGGUUUCCUGUCCCGUUACUCACGCCUAUGAGUCUUACUGUUGCUCUCCUCCCCUCUUAUUCUUGAGGAACAGAUCUAGCCUUACAUCGCUUGCUUCAAAACUGACACUACCAAGCUAACCACCCUCCCUUGCUACUAUACUCCUGAUUACAGGCCUUAUUCCUUUGUCUUAGUCUGAGAACUACUUGGUUGACUCUUCAGUUGCUUGUAUUCAUUCAGUUGACUUAUAUGUAUUAUGAAAUGUAUACUUUAUUUCACAGUAAAUAGUUGUUCUCUCAUCAGUUGUAGAUGCAUUGCCAGUUGCUUGUUCAAGUAUUAGAGAUGGUCACUCUAUUCCUUGUUUUUAGCCCAACUCUUCAUUAAAUGUUAGUAAAGCAAGGUCAGCGUCAGCUGCUGGGCUGGCAGUGAAAAAGAAUAAGAGUCAGGGAGGUGAGAAUGAGAUCGAGUAAUGGUAGACUAACCCCGGGAGUUAUGGAUUGAUUGAUUCCUGUCCCUCCGAGAAAGUAUUAGAAGCAUCAAUGAAAGUUUCAGAAAAAGUGAAGGAAGAACGAAACUAACAAGAAAAAGGCUCACAGGUAAGACUCAUAGGCCGGGGGCAGAGGCUAAGGUAUGGUAAAGCAAAGAUCUGGAUUAGGAGAUAUAGAACGAGUUCCGAGAGCUCAGGUCUUGUUUGCCCCGGUUCCUUUAUCGAAUGCCUAGUUAUUAGUUAAAGUACCAUACCUAUAUAUAGUUGUUAAAGCCCUGUGUUCUUUUUUGAAUCUCAUAUGCCCGGGUUCGAUUCUCAAAUAAGUCGUAGGUUGAUUCCCAAGUUAUAUUCUCUGUAUUGGUAGUGAAAGCCUAGCUCCCAGUUUUGAUUCCCAGGGAUUGACUUUUCUAGUGAAAAAGAGACCAACGUCUUGGGGCUAACGUGGGCGUGGGAUCCGCUCAACUACUUGUUUAGGUAAAUAUAGAAUGCCUUCCCCAGGUCAUUUUCUUAGGAGAAACUAUGCGCUUUUCAAAAAAAGGUCGGAAUAAAUCGGGUUGGUUUUCAAUAUAAUAGAAUAGAUAGAAUAUUUCAAUAUAAUAGAAUAGAUAGAAUAUGUUACUAUACCAGAUAGAAUAUGUUACUAUACCUGUAGAUAGAAUAUGUUACUAUACCGGCUUGAUGCAAAAAAAGACAAAACGGGAUUGUAUUUCCACUCAUAAGGAAUGAAGGUUAUCCACCUUUGGCAGGGUUGUAUUUUUGGUUCCAAUGGGAUGGUGUUCAAACUCCCCAAAUGCUGUCUAGACAGCCCCUUUCUGACUCGGCGAAGGGUAACUCUCCUCCGGAGCAUGCUUAACUGCAACUCAUUCGUCCUGACCAAAUUGUAGAAUCUAUCUCUCAGCGAUUCUUUUAUCAGCGAAUCACCACGCCCCGAUCGGCUAAUUCUCGGUUGCUUUAUCGAACAAAGCGGGAUAUCUCUAUUUUCCACCAUUACUGCAGGCGUCGACCAGCAAAGCGAUACGGCACUUACAUAAGAGCACGAAGAAAGAACGCUUACAUAAGAGUAUAUUACCAACCCACCCUUAUGUAGAACCUAUGAACAUGAGUAAAGCGCCUGGAUGCAUAAGGGAAGUGCACGUUUGUGAGACCUUUGUCGGGAUGCAUUAGGGGAGUAAACCUACGAGCACAGAAGAGCGUGGUACCGCUGCCCCUCUAUAAGUAUAAGGUAAUCUGCUUUUCUGAACCCAGCUCGCGCACCCAACAUAGACUUGGAUAUAAUAAACACAGCUUCAUAUCUUUAAACUGAGUCUGAUCCAUUUAAACGGAGUCUGCUCCUUCACUACAUUUCUUUAUCUCCUUCACUACCUUUCUAUCCUUCACUACAUUUCUCUAUUUCUAUAAUAGUUGCCCCGGCGCGCAUCGGUCAGGUCAACCUAGCUCCGGUCGGGACGGACGAUCCCUUAUUUCCAAUUGAGUGGGUGGGAAAGGAAAAACCAAAUGCUUGUCAUGCUAUUCAUUCCUACGGGGAAUCUUCCUUUGCAUUCAUUGAUUCCUUGGAUCAAGGACAUGGGAGGUGUCCGCCAAUUGAAAGUUCAAAGCCCCAGCAUAAUUCUUUGUUCCUUCCCAUUUGCAUCGUAUUGUCCAAGCUCAGAGAGUUGUUCAUUUUAGCCGAUUCUACAAGAUCUAUGGUACGAUUGAUAUCGAAUAUAGUUAACCCCCGUCCAGUCCAAUAGUCAAGGUUUUUCUGCCCCACAUGUGAAAGCCUAUUUAUGUUCCAAUCCGAUCGCUUCCGAACAUAUAUGUGUGGUGAACUGAGCCCCUAUGGACUACAAGGUUCUGGCUGGUCGGGCAGAUAAUGAGUCGCCAAUCCACAUUGGAUCGAUUGCUACUCUUGGAGAAUGGACAGAAAAAGGGUGCUGCUUCGAUUACAAGUAUACAGGGAUUCAAUGAGUGAGUUUUAAAGCAAAGGGAAAGCUGUGUUAGGUAUAGAAAGGAGUCAUAUUCCUACCUUAGAUACUCGGAUAUACAGAUAGAAAUGAGAAAUUCCAUGUAGCAAGCAAUUCUUCAAGUUAAGUUCGAGGAGGACUUGCAGCCGCUCGACGAAAGCUGGAAUCUCAAUUGAUAACUAGAGUAAUAGGAUUGAGCCGCGCGUUAGUCGUUUCCCUGACUUCACUUAAUAAUGAUUCCACAUACUCCUUUGACUUUUGAAUAGAUUACCGACUCCUGUAACUCACUUGAGAAUAGAAUUCCGCCUAGCCCCCGCCCUGUAGAGCCUUCACUUGUAGACUUAGAGAAAUAAGGUUGCUCCGGCCUGUACUUAAUGGAAUUGCCCUUGAGACUUAACCGACGGAGGAGUAUAGUAGGCAUUCGUUCUUAGUAUAAUAGUUGGGCAUAGGUGAUCUUAUAGAUGAAACAAGAACAGCAGCAUAGGUGAUCUUAUAGAUGAAACAAGAACAGCAUUAGCUUUAGAGGGAAUUUCUUCUUAUCCAGCUCCAUAUCCAUCUCGAAGUCAAUCGGGAAAAGAUCUUAGCGCAGAAGAGAAAGGUGACUUGGGGCUGCCUAUAGCUUCUCAAUAAUGGUAAAGUCGGGAGUCAGGCUUCUAUGAAUGUAGUAUAGAACUAGCUUAGCUUUAGCGCAAUGAAGUCACUUUAUUUAAGGUUAUUUAAGGGUUAGGGUUCGGGGCAGAAUAUCUUACCCGCAACUAAAACGAAAAAGGGAGAAUGGCAU
Molecule: long non-coding RNA, 7269 nt
Filed under: Musa acuminata (dwarf banana)
Lineage: Eukaryota; Viridiplantae; Streptophyta; Magnoliopsida; Zingiberales; Musaceae
Description: long non-coding RNA (MACU_LNC007970)
Source: RNAcentral